CGAGUCCACCAGGCGGGUGGCUGCCCUGCGCAUCCAGCUUCUCACACGCGAGACACAGAAGAGAGGAGGGAGUUAGAGAAGGUGGUAGAACAAGGCCAGGGGAGAAGGAGCAGCAGGAAGGGGCGCAGUCUGGGGAGCUGCUGUUUCAUACAUCCUGAGGAGGGACAAGGAGUGGCAGAUGCCCACAUCCUGGAGAUGGUGUUGGAGGAGCCGGAGAAGCAACUUCCUUCUGAAACGUCCAGACUCAGGUCUGACCUUCGGAGCCAGGGAACAACAUCACACAGCUGCUCAGGUGGCUGUUCCGUUCCCCAUUCCCACCAGCAGUGCGAGAGCUCCAGUCUGUCUCCACGUCUCCGUCAGCACUGGGUAUAAUCAGUCUCGUAAAUUCUGGGAUAGUCAAUUAUUUCAGCCAUUUGUUGAAAAGAUUAUCAUUUCCCCCAGUGAACUGUCUUGGCACGUUGGUCAAAGAUUCGUUGACUCUGUGGGAGUGGGUCCAUUUCUGAGCGCACUGUCUUUCUUCUAUGGAUGUAUGUCUGCUCCCCUUGGACCCUGACCCAUGCCUCCUCCAGGAAGCUCUUGGAAUCACUGACGCGAGCCCUCAGACCUGCUCUUUCUUAAAACUGGGUUGGCCGUCCCAGGUCCUUUGCAUUUCCACAUAAUUAGUUUCUCAAUUUCUACAGAAAAGCCUCCUGAGGUUUUGUUGGGGAUCAUAUCAAAUCUCCCCAUGAAUCUGGGGAGAACUGGCGGCAAUGACAACACCGGGUCACGAGCGUCCAUUACUUGGGUCCUCUGUAGUUGUUCUCAGAAGCAUUUUAUAGCCUUUGCAUCUUUUGUUUAAUUUGUAUAAUAAACGUAUGUAAAUUUAUAUAAACACCUAUGAAAUAAGUAUUUUACAUUCUUUGAUAUCGCUGUAACUGGAAUUUUAAACAACUUUAAUUUUCCAAUUUUUCAUUGUAUUUAUAACAUAUAAAAAAUUUCCAACAUAUAUUUUAUUUUUGGUGUAUGCAAAUCCAGAGGACUUUUGUAUACUGACCUUGUGUCCUACAACCUUGCUAAACUCACUUGUUAGUUUUAGCAGCUUUCUGUAGAUUCCUUACAUUUUCCUAUGUAGGUUGUCACG
Molecule: long non-coding RNA, 1120 nt
Organism: Equus quagga
Lineage: Eukaryota; Metazoa; Chordata; Mammalia; Perissodactyla; Equidae
Exons: 4
Source: RefSeq, a predicted model, not a curated record